This 253-nucleotide ribosomal RNA is filed under the name uncultured bacterium. RNAcentral describes it as "partial 16S ribosomal RNA". It matches the Rfam family "Bacterial small subunit ribosomal RNA", at positions 524 to 776 of the family's 1533-position model. The record is from RNAcentral.
UACGUAGGUGGCAAGCGUUGUCCGGAAUUAUUGGGCGUAACGCGCGCGCAGGUGGUUUCUUAAGUCUGAUGUGAAAGCCCACGGCUCAACCGUGGAGGGUCAUUGGAAACUGGGGAACUUGAGUGCAGGAGAGAAGAGUGGAAUUCCACGUGUAGCGGUGAAAUGCGUAGAGAUGUGGAGGAACACCAGUGGCGAAGGCGACUCUUUGGCCUGUAACUGACACUGAGGCGCGAAAGCGUGGGGAGCAAACAGG